This 4199-nucleotide long non-coding RNA is filed under the name Gossypium raimondii (Peruvian cotton). RNAcentral describes it as "long non-coding RNA (GRAI_LNC007604)". Lineage: Eukaryota; Viridiplantae; Streptophyta; Magnoliopsida; Malvales; Malvaceae. The record is from RNAcentral.
CUCAUUCUAGUUUCCACAAUCUUUUAUCACUGUGCAAUGGUUAUGUACAACUGAUUCACAUUGCAAGUGAUGAUCUUUACACAAUUUUUGAAACAUUUCAGAGCAAGAUUGAUUUAUUAGAGUAUAUGAUAAGAUCCAUAAAUAAGGUGGCAGUGAAUAUAUCAGCAGAAAAGCCCUUACCAACCAUUUCCGUAAGAAGUUGUGUUGCCUUUGAGGUAUAGCUGUUGCGAAGGAACCCCCGAAUCAUUAAAUUAUAACAGCAGCUAAUAGGCAACAGUCAUUAUCUCCCAUGCUCCCAAACAGCCUGUAUGCUUCAUCUGGCAAUCCCUCUUUACACAGUCCAUUAAUCAUUAUACGAUAUGUGACAACAUUCAGUUUUAAACCAUUGUCUGAGAGUUGAUGAAAUAAUUCCUUGGCAAAUCCGAUAUGCCCAGCUUUGCACAACCCAUCAAUUAGGAUAUUAUAUGGGACAAUAUCAAGUUCCAACCCACUGUUUCGCAUUGCUUGAAAAAGUUUCAAUGCCUCCUCGAUAUGACCUGUUUUGCCUAAACCAUUCAGCAAAAUCAAACAGGUCGCUAUUUCUGGAACUUGUCCAGAAGCAAGCAUCUUUCUAAAAAGUUCACAUGCAGUUGAAACUCUCCCUAACUGAAACAUACUUUGCAAGAGAGUGUUGUAUGUGACAAUAUUCGGGAUUGGUCCCUUUUGAGAUAGUUCACGAAAGAGUUCCAUUGCUUCGUCUAACCUCUUAGCUUUUCAAUAUCCAUUGAUCAUGGUGUUGUAAGUAACUAUAUCAGGUGCACAACCCUUCUCAAUCAUCAAGUUGAAAACUCUUCUAGCUUUAUCCAUUUUGUUCUGCAAGCAAUGACCAUUAACUAAUGUAUUAUAGGUAACAACAUCAGGCUCGAUUUCUCUCUUUAUCAUUGCGUCAACAAUAUCCUCAGCUUCAGAGACCAACCCUUCCUUGCAAUGCGCAUCAACCAAUGUAUUAUAUGUGACAACAUUAGGCUCAAUGCCUUGCUUUCCCAUCAUGUCAACGGUCUCUACAGCUUUAGAAAUCGUUCCUUCCUUGCAAAGAGCAUCAAUCAAUAAAUUAUAUGUGACAAUAUCAAGUGAAAUAUUGUUAUCAACCAUUUCAUUCAAAAGCCUUGUUGCCUCCUCCUGCUGGCCCAAAACACAUACCAUGAAUUAAGCAAGUGUAAGUAAAGAUAUCUGGUCUAAUGCCUUUAACCUUCACUUCGGAGAAGAGAUUGAGAGCCUCCUGUAACAAACUGUUCUUACAAAGGCAGUCAAUGUCAGUGCUAUAUGCUACAUUAUUGGGUUCAUAACCUCUGCUUUCCAUCAGCCUUAGAAACCUAACAGCUCUACCAGUAUUACCGGUCUUACACAACCCCUUAAGCAUUUUACUGUAAACAAUCAAAUUAGGUUGAUACCCUUUUUCAGUCAUUUCAUCGAACAUACAAACGGCCUCAGAAAUGUUACUUUGACUACAAAGCCCAUUAAUCAAAGUUGAAAAGUUACAGCACUAGGUUCAACACCUAACUUCAGCAAUUUCCCCAAAACAGAAAACCCAAAAUCAAUUCGACCUAAUUGACAAAAGCAAUUAAUGAAGAUGCUCAUAGAAUAACUAUCGUGGGAAACUCCCAAUAAUUCGAUCUGUCUAUACUUAGAAACAACAAUGGCAUAAUGUUUCAUCUUAACAAUGGCUCCUAAUAAUUUAGUGAAUUCCACAAUUGAAGGCUUUGGGUACUUUUCAAUCAUCUUAUUGACCAAACUCAAAGCAUGAUCAACAUUAUCGAAGCGGUGGUCUCUUUUUCCCUUUCCUCUAACAGGCAUGGACAUGGGUUUCUUACUUAGGCAUUCGAUGUGGGUAGCAAUGGUGUUAGAAGAAGAAGAAAAAGAGUGGAAAAUAGAAAGAUGGAUUCCAGCAUUAACAACCGAACGAAGAAUAAAAGAAGAAGGGAGCUUACCCAUAUCUUGAAAGCAGAAAUGGCAGCGGCAGUAGCAGAAGUGUAAAUUUUGGGUUGCGAAGUGGUGUUUUGGGAGAGGGUUGGGAGCGUAAUUUGGGUUUUUUUUUUUUAAUGUUAAUAAUAUUUAAUAAAAAAAUUAAACUUUAUUUUGAAAUGCAAUCUUCAAUUAUUAUUAAUAUUAUAAUAUACUUUUGUUAAAUUUAAAUUUAAAUUUUUAGACUAACAUGAAAAAAUAUACUAAGAUUUCAAUACAAUUAAAACUAACUUGAAUUCCACACUUAGAGUUAAAAGAUCUGAGCAGUAUCAUUAGGCAAAUUUUCAAAGAGACUCAACACCAUCCCUAAAUUUCUUCCAAUCCUAGCAAUAGAGUUUGCAACUUUGUCAUGUAGUUAUAAUUAUUUUGUUCAACCUAUAGUUGUAAUUUUGAAUUUAGUAGAACAAAAUAAUAUAAAUUUUACAUGGUGUUCAAUGAUGGUAUUGAUUGGUUAGCAAAAUCAGCUCUAAGGAUAGAGCCAUUUCGAUCUUGGAUGAGCAUGUUGUUUGUCAUCGGUGCAAAGUGGAAUCUAAGGAUGUUAGUCACAUUUUGCUGAAAUGUGCCCGAGUUAACAAAUUCUGAGAUAUUUUAUCAUUUCUUUCGUUAUGCUUUAAUAAGUUUGGUGUCUAAACUUCUGUUUAAUUGGUGGUUGAUGUCUAUUAUGGUUGCCUUGUGGACCAUCUAGAGUGCAAGAAAUGAUUCUAUGUUUAGAGGAAAAGAUUUUAAUUUGGAGUACAUUUUUUUUCUGGUUGAAUUAAGAUCUUUGCAUUGGAUAAAAGUUUUGCCAGAAUGUAUGAAUUUUGUUGAGUCAAUGUGGGGGGAGGGGGUGUCCGCGAGAUUGUGAAAGGAGUAUCUGUAGCCAUCAUACCAAGAGUGUGAUGCGUUGAGAACCUUCAAAUGAAGGCUAGUUAAAGUUUAACGAUGAUGGUUCAACAUUAGGUAAAUUUGGCCCGACGGGAUGUGGAGUGGAUUUUAGAAAUUCAAAGGGUCAUGUCAUUACUAUGUUUUAGGUCCCUAAGGCGUCCAAGAUUCUAAUUUCACUGAAAUUAUGGCGAUUAAGUUAGCUCUUCAUUUCUUCUUAGACUCCCAGUGGAUUAAAGACUAAAAGCUUAUGAUUGACUCCGACUCUAUAGUCGCGCUUACUUGGUGUAUCAAUGAGAAAUCUAGGCCUUUGAAAUAUUGGCACAUUUUUGCAAUCAUUGAUGAGAUUAAGCUGUCCAUUCAUGAGGUACUGUUUAGAAAAAUUGGGACAGAUGUUAAUGGUAUGGCAGAUUCGUUGGCAAAAUUAGGGUGCUUUCAAUCUCAAAUGUUUUUUUGUAGAUUGGUGAUGAGCAUCGUUGAGUUUAAUUGAGAUGAUAAUUUCAUUGUUAUUUCAUCGAAGAAGAUUCACCAAAUCAUUUGCAACGAUUAUUAGACUAUCAAACAACAGUAUUUUGUGCCUAUUUGAUUAAGGUGUGCUGCCAUUUUAAGGUGUGCUGCAGUUGCAAUAAUCAUAACCAAUAAUUCUACAAAAAUAAUUAACUAAGUUUGAUUAAAGAUAAAUACUUUAUUUUACGAUAGUUUUGGUAAUUAAAUAAUGAAAAGAAAAUUUUUUUCUGUUAUGAAAAUAUUUAUCUUGUAUCUGUUUCACUUGAAACAAUUUUAAAAAAAUGAGUUCAAGAAAACUUAUCAAAUACUGUAAAAUGUUUUACAUAAAACCAUUAGGAAAAUAUUACAUUUUUCCGAAAAGCAUACUAUUUUCCGGAAAUCAUUCUCCAGAAAAUGUUUUCAAUCAAACAAACAAACCCCAAAUUUGAUUGAAUUCCACACUUGGAGUUAAAAGUUCUGAGCAGCCGAAAAUUAUACUGAUGCUAUUGUCAUUGCUACAGAUAUUGGUUUUCCUCUAAGUUCUUACCAUUACCACCAACAAGAUUCUCGCUUACAACACAAAGUCAGAACAAUCAACAAUAUUGAAAAUAGACACUAAAACUCAUUCUAGUUUCCAGAAUCUUUUAUCACUGUACAAUGGUUAUGUACAAACUGAUUCACAUUUGCAUGUUAUGAUCUUUACACAAUUUGUGACACAUUUCAGAGCAAGAUUGAUUUAUUAGAGUAUAUGAUAAGAUCCAUAAAUAAGGUGGCAGUGAAUAUAUCUGCAGAAAAGCCCUUACCAACCAUUUCCGUAAGAAGUUGUGUUGCCUUUGAGGUAUAGCUGUUGC